This 244-nucleotide long non-coding RNA is filed under the name Elaeis guineensis (African oil palm). Its description in RNAcentral is "long non-coding RNA (EGUI_LNC068892)". The record is from RNAcentral. Lineage: Eukaryota; Viridiplantae; Streptophyta; Magnoliopsida; Arecales; Arecaceae.
GAUACACACCAUCAAUAUUGCUAGAACUAUACCAACUUGUCAUCACAGUAUAAUUUAUACAAAAAAAAAAUCCAUCACAGAGCACAUACCCAAAAUAUAAUCCAAAAUGAAUACUUUUUCCACUAGCAGUGAUACUUGCACAAUCUUUAUGCUGAGCUACAUCACUUUAAAUCUAAACAAGAAAAAGAAAGAAAUCCACAUAAUGAGACUUAAAGUCCCAGUGAGUGAGAACCAUCCGUCCAAC